CCAUAACACACCUUAGUAGUUAUGCACUACCCAUGUGUGUUAUACUAUAUAAAGCCAACACCCCUUUUAUUUCUUUCUAUGUGGGACAAACACAUUCUCAAAACAAGCUUUUCCAAGCUACUAACUUCAACUUCAUUUCUCUUAUGGAUUUCAUUAAGAAAAUUCUUAAACCCAUACAUGAAAGUUUAAGUCCCGAUAUCUAGAACCAACUUCCAAUCAUUAGAUUAUGGAAUUAACAACAAGAACAUAAUAAAAUUAU
Molecule: long non-coding RNA, 259 nt
Filed under: Daucus carota (carrot)
Lineage: Eukaryota; Viridiplantae; Streptophyta; Magnoliopsida; Apiales; Apiaceae
Description: long non-coding RNA (DCAR_LNC000282)
Source: RNAcentral